This 1092-nucleotide ribosomal RNA is filed under the name Sphingobacterium sp. RNAcentral describes it as "bacterial SSU rRNA". It matches the Rfam family "Bacterial small subunit ribosomal RNA", at positions 44 to 1130 of the family's 1533-position model. The record is from RNAcentral. Lineage: Bacteria; Pseudomonadati; Bacteroidota; Sphingobacteriia; Sphingobacteriales; Sphingobacteriaceae.
CGGCCUAUACAUGCAAGUCGGACGGGAUCCAUCGGAAGAGCUUGCUCGAAGAUGGUGAGAGUGGCGCACGGGUGCGUAACGCGUGAGCAACCUACCUCUAUCAGGGGGAUAGCCUCUCGAAAGAGAGAUUAACACCGCAUAACAUCAACAGUUCGCAUGUUCAGUUGAUUAAAUAUUUAUAGGAUAGAGAUGGGCUCGCGUGACAUUAGCUAGUUGGUAGGGUAACGGCUUACCAAGGCGACGAUGUCUAGGGGCUCUGAGAGGAGAAUCCCCCACACUGGUACUGAGACACGGACCAGACUCCUACGGGAGGCAGCAGUAAGGAAUAUUGGUCAAUGGGCGGAAGCCUGAACCAGCCAUGCCGCGUGCAGGAUGACUGCCCUAUGGGUUGUAAACUGCUUUUGUCCAGGAAUAAACCUAUAUACGUGUAUAUAGCUGAAUGUACUGGAAGAAUAAGGAUCGGCUAACUCCGUGCCAGCAGCCGCGGUAAUACGGAGGAUCCGAGCGUUAUCCGGAUUUAUUGGGUUUAAAGGGUGCGUAGGCGGCCUAUUAAGUCAGGGGUGAAAUACGGUGGCUCAACCAUCGCAGUGCCUUUGAUACUGAUGGGCUUGAAUCCAUUUGAAGUGGGCGGAAUAAGACAAGUAGCGGUGAAAUGCAUAGAUAUGUCUUAGAACUCCGAUUGCGAAGGCAGCUCACUAAGCUGGUAUUGACGCUGAUGCACGAAAGCGUGGGGAUCGAACAGGAUUAGAUACCCUGGUAGUCCACGCCCUAAACGAUGAUAACUCGAUGUUGGCGAUAGACAGCCAGCGUCCAAGCGAAAGCGUUAAGUUAUCCACCUGGGGAGUACGCCCGCAAGGGUGAAACUCAAAGGAAUUGACGGGGGCCCGCACAAGCGGAGGAGCAUGUGGUUUAAUUCGAUGAUACGCGAGGAACCUUACCCGGGCUUGAAAGUUAGUGAAGAGUGCAGAGACGCACUCGUCCUUCGGGACACGAAACUAGGUGCUGCAUGGCUGUCGUCAGCUCGUGCCGUGAGGUGUUGGGUUAAGUCCCGCAACGAGCGCACCCCCUAUGUUUAGUUGCCAGCAUUUAAGG